Molecule: ribosomal RNA, 244 nt
Filed under: uncultured bacterium
Lineage: Bacteria
Description: partial 16S ribosomal RNA
Rfam family: Bacterial small subunit ribosomal RNA
Source: RNAcentral
GUGGCGGACGGGUGAGUAACACGUGAGGAACCUGCCUUACAGAGAGGGAUACCGUUUGGAAACGAACGUUAAUACCGCAUAACGUAUUGAAAUCGCAUGGUUUUGAUACCAAAGAUUUAUCGCUGUAAGAUGGCCUCGCGUCUGAUUAGAUAGUUGGUGAGGUAACGGCCCACCAAGUCGACGAUCAGUAGCCGGACUGAGAGGUUGAUCGGCCACAUUGGGACUGAGACACGGCCCAGACUCC